RNA transcript from Daktulosphaira vitifoliae (grape phylloxera), 1313 nucleotides. RefSeq lists it as uncharacterized. NCBI's taxonomy places the organism in Eukaryota, Metazoa, Arthropoda, Insecta, Hemiptera, Phylloxeridae. The record is from RefSeq and is a predicted model, not a curated record. The transcript is spliced from 7 exons.
UGCCCGACUUGUGUUUCUGCACUGUUUUCUUCUAAUAAAGAAGAAUUUUUAAAUUCUAUUGUUAGUUUAAAAAAUAGGAAUGGUAAUCAAAAUGGUUUAUGUUACCCAAGUGAUAAUGUUCUAUCAUUAUGUUUUGAAACAGAUUUAGUUUUAAGGAGUAUUGAUUAUAAAAAUAAAGCCGUCAAUAAACUAAUGGUCCAGUCCAAAGUUCUUAGUAAAUUUAUAAGUCAGUCUCAAAUGUUUUGUUUAGUAAAUUAAGAUAAUGAAACUAAUAGCUUAAUAAAUCAUAUUCCCCUGUUAAUUAAAUCCAUAACUGCUACUUAUUUUGAUCUUAAAAUUAAACAUUCCAUAAAAAUUCACAAUGAAACUCCGUCUCUUAGAAAUGUGAAAUAAUUAUGAUGUAAGGAAAAAACUAUCUCAAUUGAAAAUAAUUGCAUUUAAAUGUGAAUCAUGUGGAUACGAAAAUGAAGAAAUAGUUUUCUACUAUACAAUAGUUAUACACUUUUGUUGGAUGUUAUCAGCUCAAUUGAAAAUAAUGACAUAUAAAUGCGAAUCAUUUGGAUAUAAAAAUGUAAAUUUAGGGCAGAAAAACGGCAAUAAUUACACCAAAAAUUUGAAUCAAAUACUUCUAGAUUACACAAAAAUAAACAUAAUUACUUUAAAAAUGGCUGUGAAAUGUCUGUUAUUUUUGCGAAAUUAUUAUUAACAACAUUGGCGGUGUCUAUUGAUUUGUUUAUUAUGUGCUAUUAUUAUGGCUAUCUUGAAAAUGAAAAAACAAGAAAAACCUUUUUCUUCCUAAUCACUACCAAGGGGAAUGUCCACGAAGGUCAGUCGUAAUCCAAAAUAGCAAUAAGAUUAAGGAUUUUCAACUAUUACCAGCACAAAUUACUCAUUUAAUUACUAUCAAGGACGUGUCAUAUAGAGACCCAGUUCUGUUUUAAUAAGAAAGCUUUUAUACCUUAACUUUGAAUAAUAGAAAGGAAAAAUAGUUCAAUAACUUCGCAAAUUUAAUAAUUAAUAGAUAUAUCUAAAACAAGAUGAAACGUAAAAAUGGUAGCACAGUGAGGUUGGGUUUUUUCAAUUAUAAUCAAUUUUUAUAAAAUAACUGUUCCAAUCAUACAAAUUAUUUUUUUGUGUAGUAUAAACUAUAACUAUUAUAGAACAUUGUCAGUACAGCGUGGAUGUGGCAUAGUUGGGACAAGUAUAAAUGAUAUCUGACAGUGAUUAAUAUCACUAUUAUAAGAUAUGCUUCCAUGUAAAUUCGUAAACAGUGUUUAAUUUUAAGUAAUUAGUCGAUUAUUCCAAAAGCAUCA